This 252-nucleotide ribosomal RNA is filed under the name uncultured bacterium. RNAcentral describes it as "partial 16S ribosomal RNA". It matches the Rfam family "Bacterial small subunit ribosomal RNA", at positions 524 to 776 of the family's 1533-position model. The record is from RNAcentral.
UACGUAGGGCGCAAGCGUUAUCCGGAAUUAUUGGGCGUAAAGAGCUCGUAGGCGGUUUGUCGCGUCUGCUGUGAAAGACCGGGGCUCAACUCCGGUUCUGCAGUGGGUACGGGCAGACUAGAGUGCAGUAGGGGAGACUGGAAUUCCUGGUGUAGCGGUGAAAUGCGCAGAUAUCAGAGGAACACCGAUGGCGAAGGCAGGUCUCUGGGCUGUAACUGACGCUGAGGCGCGAAAGCUAGGGUAGCAAACGGG